RNAcentral lists this ribosomal RNA (465 nucleotides) under Vreelandella stevensii. RNAcentral describes it as "partial 16S ribosomal RNA". It matches the Rfam family "Bacterial small subunit ribosomal RNA", at positions 338 to 795 of the family's 1533-position model. Lineage: Bacteria; Pseudomonadati; Pseudomonadota; Gammaproteobacteria; Oceanospirillales; Halomonadaceae. The record is from RNAcentral.
CCUACGGGGGGCAGCAGUGGGGAAUAUUGGACAAUGGGCGAAAGCCUGAUCCAGCCAUGCCGCGUGUGUGAAGAAGGCCUUCGGGUUGUAAAGCACUUUCAGUGGGGAAGAAAGCCUUGGGGCUAAUACCCUCGAGGAAGGACAUCACCCACAGAAGAAGCACCGGCUAACUCCGUGCCAGCAGCCGCGGUAAUACGGAGGGUGCGAGCGUUAAUCGGAAUUACUGGGCGUAAAGCGCGCGUAGGCGGUCUGAUAAGCCGGUUGUGAAAGCCCCGGGCUCAACCUGGGAACGGCAUCCGGAACUGGCAGGCUAGAGUGCAGGAGAGGAAGGUAGAAUUCCCGGUGUAGCAGUGAAAUGCGUAGAGAUCGGGAGGAAUACCAGUGGCGAAGGCGGCCUUCUGGACUGACACUGACGCUGAGGUGCGAAAGCGUGGGUAGCAAACAGGAUUAGAUACCCCAGUAGUC